UCGCAUCUGUGCAUGCAGCAUAUCAAUAAGCGGAGGAAAAGAAACUAACAAGGAUUCCCCUAGUAACGGCGAGUGAAGCGGGAAGAGCUCAAAUUUGAAAUCUUAAAGGGUUUCCCUUUACGAAUUGUAGUUUAAAGAAGUGUUUUCUGUUGAGGUUUUGGUAAAAGUUCUUUGGAAUAGGACAUCAUAGAGGGUGAGAAUCCCGUAUUCGACCUUUACUUUCAACUUUGUGAUACACUUUCAAAGAGUCGGAUUGUUUGGGAAUGCAGUCCAAAAUGGGUGGUAAAUUUCAUCUAAAGCUAAAUAUUGGCGAGAGACCGAUAGCGAACAAGUACCGUGAGGGAAAGAUGAAAGGAACUUUGAAAAGAGAGUUAAACAGUACGUGAAAUUGUCAAAAGGGAAGCGUUUGACACCAGUGUUGUUUUUCUGAAAAUCAAUUAAAGAACUGUUUAUGCUAAGCUGUUUAGACUUUAUCAGCUAGCUGUUUAGUUUUGAGCUUUUCUUUAAUGCACUUUUCAGUUAACAAGUCAACAUCAAUUUCUUUUGCUGUAAAAAAGCUUGAGGAAGGUGGCUUGAGAUUCGUCUUAAGUGUUUAUAGCCUCUUGCCUAUGCAGUCGGAGAGAUUGAGGUCUGCAGCGUAGAUCCUUCGGGGCUAAAUGCAUUUGUGCUAAGUUAUAGCAUUUUAUAGACAACUUGUUGACUAUGAUUUGUCUUGUAGCUUACUCGCUUAUGUUAUUUUACCUACGCUUAGGAUGUUGACAGCAGUAUAGACUGU
This 775-nucleotide ribosomal RNA is filed under the name uncultured Neocallimastigales. RNAcentral describes it as "partial large subunit ribosomal RNA". It matches the Rfam family "Eukaryotic large subunit ribosomal RNA", at positions 24 to 640 of the family's 3401-position model. Lineage: Eukaryota; Fungi; Neocallimastigomycota; Neocallimastigomycetes; Neocallimastigales. The record is from RNAcentral.